UCCCUUGUGGCUCAGCUGGUAGAGCAUGGUGCUUGCGACGUCAGGGUUGUGGGUUUGAUUCCCACAGGGGAC
RNAcentral lists this transfer RNA (72 nucleotides) under Salmo salar (Atlantic salmon). It matches the Rfam family "tRNA". Rfam says of the family: Transfer RNA (tRNA) molecules are approximately 80 nucleotides in length. Their secondary structure includes four short double-helical elements and three loops (D, anti-codon, and T loops). Lineage: Eukaryota; Metazoa; Chordata; Actinopteri; Salmoniformes; Salmonidae. The record is from Rfam by way of RNAcentral.